Long non-coding RNA from Balaenoptera acutorostrata (minke whale), 416 nucleotides. RefSeq lists it as uncharacterized. The transcript has 3 exons. NCBI's taxonomy places the organism in Eukaryota, Metazoa, Chordata, Mammalia, Artiodactyla, Balaenopteridae. The record is from RefSeq and is a predicted model, not a curated record.
CUUCCCUCCCUCCCUCCUCCCUGUCCCUUUCCUCCUUUAAAUAUUGAUGGUAUCACACUAGCAGCCUGCUAAUGUAACUGUGGUUGGCACUCUGCAGAGGCAAAGGGAACUGCAGGUACAGUCGCAGUUGCUCUAGCUAAGACUUCCAAUAUUAUGCGGAACCGAAGUGGUUGGAGUCAGCAUCCGUGACUUGUUCCUCAUCUGAGAGGAAAAGCUUUCAGGCUUUCACUGUGGAGUAUGAUACUACCCGUAGGCUUUUCGUAAAUUACUCUUAUCAUGUUGAGAUCAAAUGAAGGUGAACGACAGCUGUGUUGGAAUUACAAUGUAAAUUGCAACGUGCAAAGCCUACUUGAACAGGAAAAGCUGAUGUGAAGCGGACAGUCAUGAUGAAGGCCUCCACUCUGACCUGGUUUGAA